RNAcentral lists this ribosomal RNA (501 nucleotides) under uncultured bacterium. RNAcentral's name for it is "partial 16S ribosomal RNA". It matches the Rfam family "Bacterial small subunit ribosomal RNA", at positions 30 to 523 of the family's 1533-position model. The record is from RNAcentral.
AUUGAACGCUGGCGGCAGGCUUAACACAUGCAAGUCGAGCGGAGAUGAGGUGCUUGCACCUUAUCUUAGCGGCGGACGGGUGAGUAAUGCUUAGGAAUCUGCCUAUUAGUGGGGGACAACAUUCCGAAAGGAAUGCUAAUACCGCAUACGUCCUACGGGAGAAAGCAGGGGAUCUUCGGACCUUGCGCUAAUAGAUGAGCCUAAGUCGGGAUUAGCUAGUUGGUGGGGUAAAGGCCUACCAAGGCGACGAUCUGUAGCGGGUCUGAAAGGAUGACCCGCAACACUGGAACGGGGAAACGCCCCGGACUCCUACGGAAGGAAGCGGUGGGGAUUAUGGAACAAGGGGGGAAGCCCGGUUCCGGCCAGGCGGGUUUGGUGAGAAAGCCUUAUGGUUGUAAAGCACUUUAAGCGAGGAGGAGGCUACUGAGACUAAUACUCUUGGAUAGUGGACGUUACUCGCAGAAUAAGCACCGGCUAACUCUGUGCCAGCCGCCGCAGUAA